Molecule: ribosomal RNA, 440 nt
Filed under: uncultured bacterium
Lineage: Bacteria
Description: partial 16S ribosomal RNA
Rfam family: Bacterial small subunit ribosomal RNA
Source: RNAcentral
CCUACGGGAGGCAGCAGUGGGGAAUAUUGCACAAUGGGCGUAACCCUGAUCCAGCGACGCCGCGUGGGUGAAGGAGCGUUUCGGCGCGUUAAGCCCUAUUGGUAGGGAAGUAGAUGACGGGACCUGACCCAGAAGCCCCGGCUAACUCCGUGCCAGCAGCCGCGGUAAUACGUAGGGGGCAAGCGUUAUCCGGAUUUACUGGGCGUAAAGGGGGCGUAGGCGGCAAUGCAAGCCAGGAGUGAAAGCUCGGGGCCCAACCCCGGGACUGCUGUUGGAACUGGAUGGCUGGAGUACAGGAGGGGCAGGCGGAAUUCCUGGUGUAGCGGUGAAAUGCGUAGAUAUCGCGCAGAACGCCGAUUGCGAAGGCAGCGUACCGGCGCCAGACUGACGCUGAGGCACGAAAGCGUGGGGAUCGAACAGGAUUAGAUACCCUUGUAGUC